GCCUCCUUAGUUAAUCCGGAUAUAACAAAUCCCUCCUAAGGAUUAGUGGUCGGUUCGAGUCCGGCAGGGGGUG
This 73-nucleotide transfer RNA is filed under the name Ruminococcus sp. RNAcentral's name for it is "tRNA-Arg". It matches the Rfam family "tRNA". From Rfam's summary of the family: Transfer RNA (tRNA) molecules are approximately 80 nucleotides in length. The record is from RNAcentral. Lineage: Bacteria; Bacillati; Bacillota; Clostridia; Eubacteriales; Oscillospiraceae.